RNAcentral lists this transfer RNA (87 nucleotides) under Dehalococcoidia bacterium. RNAcentral describes it as "tRNA-Leu". The record is from RNAcentral. Lineage: Bacteria; Bacillati; Chloroflexota; Dehalococcoidia.
GCCGAGGUGGUGGAAUCGGUAGACACGCGGUCUUGAGGGGGCCGUGGACGAAAGUCCGUAGGAGUUCAAGUCUCCUCCUCGGCACCA